This 497-nucleotide ribosomal RNA is filed under the name uncultured bacterium. RNAcentral's name for it is "partial 16S ribosomal RNA". It matches the Rfam family "Bacterial small subunit ribosomal RNA", at positions 28 to 507 of the family's 1533-position model. The record is from RNAcentral.
GAUGAACGCUGGCGGCGUGCCUAAUACAUGCCAGUCGAGCGAACAGACGAGGAGCUUGCUCCUCUGACGUUAGCGGCGGACGGGUGAGUAACACGUGGAUAACCUACCUAUAAGACUGGGAUAACUUCGGGAAACCGGAGCUAAUACCGGAUAAUAUAUUGAACCGCAUGGUUCAAUAGUGAAAGACGGUUUUGAUGUCACUUAUAGAUGGAUCCGCGCCGCAUUAGCUAGUUGGUAAGGUAACGGCUUACCAAGGCAACGAUGCGUAGCCGACCUGAGAGGGUGUUCGGCCACACUGGAACUGAGCCGCGGUCCAGACUCCUACGGGAGGCAGCAGUAGGGAAUCUUCCGCAAUGGGCGAAAGCCUGACGGAGCAACGCCGCGUGAGUGAUGAAGUUCUUCGGAUCGUAAAACUCUGUUAUUAGGGAAGAACAAAUGUGUAAGUAACUAUGCACGUCUUGACGGUACCUAAUCAGAAAGCCACGGCUAACUACGUG